GAUUAACGCUGGCGGCAUGCCUAAUACAUGCAAAUCGAACGAAGCACUUGUGCUUAGUGGUGAACGGGUGAGUAACACGUAUCCAAUCUACCCUUAGGUUGGGGAUAACUGGUCGAAAGACUAGCUAAUACCGAAUAUCAAUACUCCUAUCGCAUGAGAAAGUAUUGAAAGAUCCUUUUGGAUCGCCUUUGGAUGAGGGUGCGGCAUAUCAGAUAGUUGGUGAGGUAACGGCUCACCAAGUCAAUGACGUGUAGCUGUACUGAGAGGUAAAACAGCCACAAUGGGACUGAGACACGGCCCAUACUCCUACGGGAGGCAGCAGUAGGGAAUUUUUCACAAUGGGCGAAAGCCUGAUGGAGCAAUGCCGCGUGAAUGAUGAAGGUCUUACAGAUUGUAAAAUUCUUUUAGCAGGGAAGAAGCGAGAGUGACGGUACCUGCAGAAAAAGCACCGGCUAACUACGUGCCAGCAGCCGCGGUAACAC
RNAcentral lists this ribosomal RNA (482 nucleotides) under uncultured bacterium. RNAcentral describes it as "bacterial SSU rRNA". It matches the Rfam family "Bacterial small subunit ribosomal RNA", at positions 28 to 526 of the family's 1533-position model. The record is from RNAcentral.